RNAcentral lists this ribosomal RNA (253 nucleotides) under uncultured bacterium. RNAcentral's name for it is "partial 16S ribosomal RNA". It matches the Rfam family "Bacterial small subunit ribosomal RNA", at positions 524 to 776 of the family's 1533-position model. The record is from RNAcentral.
UACAGAGGGCGCGAGCGUUGUCCGGAAUCACUGGGCGUAAAGGGCGCGUAGGUGGCGGCAUAAGGCCGUGGUGAAAGUCUGGGGCUCAACCCCAGAUCGGCCAUGGCGACUGUGUCGCUUGGGUACUGUAGAGGCAGGUGGAAUUCAUGGUGUAGCAGUGAAAUGCGUAGAGAUCAUGAGGAAGACCAGUGGCGAAGGCGGGUCUCUGGACAGUUCCUGACACUGAGACACGAAGGCCAGGGGAGCAAACGGG